GCCCCUAUAGCCCAACUGGCAGAGGCAGCAGACUUAAAAUCUGCAAAGUGUGGGUUCGAAUCCCACUGGGGGCA
RNAcentral lists this transfer RNA (74 nucleotides) under Corynebacterium sp. RNAcentral describes it as "tRNA-Leu". It matches the Rfam family "tRNA". Rfam says of the family: Transfer RNA (tRNA) molecules are approximately 80 nucleotides in length. The record is from RNAcentral. Lineage: Bacteria; Bacillati; Actinomycetota; Actinomycetes; Mycobacteriales; Corynebacteriaceae.